Molecule: ribosomal RNA, 481 nt
Filed under: uncultured bacterium
Lineage: Bacteria
Description: bacterial SSU rRNA
Rfam family: Bacterial small subunit ribosomal RNA
Source: RNAcentral
GAGAUAACUCCUACGGGAGGCAGCAGUGGGGAAUUUUGGACAAUGGGCGCAAGCCUGAUCCAGCAAUGCCGCGUGCAGGAAGAAGGCCUUCGGGUUGUAAACUGCUUUUGUACGGAACGAAACGGUCUGGGUUAAUACCCUGGGCUAAUGACGGUACCGUAAGAAUAAGCACCGGCUAACUACGUGCCAGCAGCCGCGGUAAUACGUAGGGUGCAAGCGUUAAUCGGAAUUACUGGGCGUAAAGCGUGCGCAGGCGGUUUUGUAAGACAGGCGUGAAAUCCCCGGGCUCAACCUGGGAAUGGCGCUUGUGACUGCAAAGCUGGAGUGCGGCAGAGGGGGAUGGAAUUCCGCGUGUAGCAGUGAAAUGCGUAGAUAUGCGGAGGAACACCGAUGGCGAAGGCAAUCCCCUGGGCCUGCACUGACGCUCAUGCACGAAAGCGUGGGGAGCAAACAGGAUUAGAAACCCUGGUAGUCCUCCACU